Molecule: long non-coding RNA, 595 nt
Organism: Bos taurus (domestic cattle)
Lineage: Eukaryota; Metazoa; Chordata; Mammalia; Artiodactyla; Bovidae
Source: Ensembl
GUUAUAGGCUUUAGAAGCUAAUUUUCCCUGGAUCUUUGCCCCUGUGAAAAAUCCAUCUAUCACAGAGGCAGAAACUGUAAAGAAACUAAGAUACCGCCCACCAGCCUGACGGAGGACGGUGACUGCAUGCUGACCACAAGCAUGCAGACCCCAGACUGGUUGGAGCCAGAAGGCCCUAAAACACUUCCCUGUUACCUCACUACCAAUCAAUCAGAAGAAAGUCCACCAGCUGACCACACACCCUGCAACCUUCACUCCUAAUACUGUCUUUAAAAACCCUCAUCUGAAAGCUGUUGAGGAGCUUUGGCCUUUGAGCACAAACCGCCCAUUCUCUUCUCUUGAUGUCUUGCAAUAAACGUUGCACUUUCCUUCACCACAGCCUGGUGUGGCUUUGCUGUGCUGUGGACCCGAGUUCCGUUCUAUAACAGAGCUCAGUUAACAACAGACUCCUGAGAGAUAAUAAUGGUAGUGGCUAUUUUUAAACUACUUAGUUUUAGGGUGGUUAGUUAUGCAGCAAUAGAUAAAUUUACUUCAUAGAGUUUUCAAACACUUAGAACAUGGGAUCAGCAAACUUUUCCUGUGAAGGGCCAGGUAA